RNAcentral lists this non-coding RNA (130 nucleotides) under Tupaia belangeri chinensis (Chinese tree shrew). RNAcentral's name for it is "Tupaia chinensis (Chinese tree shrew) Eukaryotic large subunit ribosomal RNA". It matches the Rfam family "Eukaryotic large subunit ribosomal RNA", at positions 2193 to 2324 of the family's 3401-position model. Lineage: Eukaryota; Metazoa; Chordata; Mammalia; Scandentia; Tupaiidae. The record is from Rfam by way of RNAcentral.
GAUUUCUGCCCGGCACUCUGAAUGUCACAGUGAAGAAAUUCAAGAAAGGGUGGGUAAAGGUCGGAGUAGCUAUGACUCUCUUAAAGUAGCCAACACCUUGUCACCUAAUCAGUGACACGGGUGAAUGGAC